Molecule: ribosomal RNA, 851 nt
Filed under: uncultured bacterium
Lineage: Bacteria
Description: bacterial SSU rRNA
Rfam family: Bacterial small subunit ribosomal RNA
Source: RNAcentral
AGAGUUUGAUCUUGCUUCAGGAUGAACGCUAGCGGCGGGCUUAACACAUGCAAGUCGAGGAGCAGCAUGUCCAGCAAUGGAUGAUGGCGACCGGCGGAAGGGUGCGUAACGCGUGAGCAACAUGCCCUAUACAGGGAGAUACACCAGGGAAACUUGGUCUAAUAUCCCAUAGCAUUCAUUGAAGGCAUCUUUAAUGAAUUAAAGCUUCGGUGGUAUAGGAUUGGCUCGCGUGACAUUAGCCAGAUGGUGAGGUAACGGCUCACCAUAGCAAUGAUGUCUAGGGGUUUUGAGAGGAAGGCCCCCCACACUGGGACUGAGACACGGCCCAGACUCCUACGGGAGGCAGCAGUGAGGAAUAUUGGACAAUGGAUGGAAAUCUGAUCCAGCCAUGCCGCGUGCAGGAAGACGGCCUUAUGGGUUGUAAACUGCUUUUAUACGGGAGCAAUAAGGGUUACGAGUAAUCCGAUGAGAGUACUGUAUGAAUAAGGAUCGGCUAACUCCGUGCCAGCAGCCGCGGUAAUACGGAGGAUCCGAGCGUUAUCCGGAAUUAUUGGGUUUAAAGGGUGCGUAGGCGGCCAUUUAAGUCAGCGGUGAAAUUUUGCAGCUUAACUGUAACAGUGCCGUUGAUACUGUUUGGCUAGGAUUUGGUUGUAGUGUGCGGAAUGUGUGGUGUAGCGGUGAAAUGCUUAGAUAUCACACAGAACACCGAUUGCGAAGGCAGCACACUAAGUCAUUAUUGACGCUGAGGCACGAAAGUGUGGGGAUCAAACAGGAUUAGAUACCCUGGUAGUCCACACUGUAAACGAUGAUAACUCGCUGUCGGCGAUACACAGUCGGGGCCAAGCGAAAGC